This 254-nucleotide ribosomal RNA is filed under the name uncultured bacterium. RNAcentral describes it as "partial 16S ribosomal RNA". It matches the Rfam family "Bacterial small subunit ribosomal RNA", at positions 524 to 776 of the family's 1533-position model. The record is from RNAcentral.
UACGUAGGGACCAAGCGUUGUUCGGAUUUACUGGGCGUAAAGGGCGCGUAGGCGGCGUGACAAGUCACUUGUGAAAUCUCCGGACUUAACUCGGAACGGCCAAGUGAUACUGUCGUGCUAGAGUGCAGAAGGGGCAAUCGGAAUUCUUGGUGUAGCGGUGAAAUGCGUAGAUAUCAAGAGGAACACCUGAGGUGAAGACGGGUUGCUGGGCUGACACUGACGCUGACAGCGCGAAAGCUAGGGGAGCAAACGGG